CCUACGGGAGGCAGCAGUGGGGAAUCUUGCGCAAUGGGCGAAAGCCUGACGCAGCCAUGCCGCGUGUAUGAUGAAGGUCUUAGGAUUGUAAAAUACUUUCACCGGUGAAGAUAAUGACUGUAGCCGGAGAAGAAGCCCCGGCUAACUUCGUGCCAGCAGCCGCGGUAAUACGAAGGGGGCUAGCGUUGCUCGGAAUUACUGGGCGUAAAGGGAGCGUAGGCGGACAUUUAAGUCAGAGGUGAAAUCCCGGAGCUUAACUUCGGAACUGCCUUUGAUACUGGGUGUCUUGAGUGUGAGAGAGGUAUGUGGAACUCCGAGUGUAGAGGUGAAAUUCGUAGAUAUUCGGAAGAACACCAGUGGCGAAGGCGACAUACUGGCUCAUUACUGACGCUGAGGCUCGAAAGCGUGGGGAGCAAACAGGAUUAGAUACCCUGGUAGUCCACGCCGUAAACGAUGAUUGCUAGUUGUCGGGAAGCUUGCUUCUCGGUGACGCAGCUAACGCAUUAAGCAAUCCGCCUGGGGAGUACGGUCGCAAGAUUAAAACCUUAGAAAGUAGUAGGCGUGAGAGUCGCGACGAGACACGACGGAGGAGG
This 593-nucleotide ribosomal RNA is filed under the name uncultured bacterium. RNAcentral describes it as "bacterial SSU rRNA". It matches the Rfam family "Bacterial small subunit ribosomal RNA", at positions 338 to 944 of the family's 1533-position model. The record is from RNAcentral.